Molecule: unclassified non-coding RNA, 351 nt
Filed under: soil metagenome
Description: partial contains 5.8S ribosomal RNA, internal transcribed spacer 2, and large subunit ribosomal RNA
Rfam family: 5.8S ribosomal RNA (bases 1-120)
Source: RNAcentral
GAUGAAGAACGUAGCGAAACGCGAUAUGUAAUGUGAAUUGCAGAAUUCAGUGAAUCAUCGAAUCUUUGAACGCACAUGGCGCCUUCCAGUAUCCUGGGAGGCAUGCCUGUCCGAGCGUCGUUUCAACCCUUGAGCCCCCGUGGCCCGGCGUUGGGGAUCUGCCACGGCAGGCCCCUAAAACCAGUGGCGGACCCGAAGGCCCUCUCCUUUGCGCAGUAGCAUCAGCCUCGCAUUGCGAUCCCUCGGCGUCCUGCCUCUAAACCCCCCACAAGUCCGCUCCGGCGGCACCAAGGUUGACCUCGGAUCAGGUAGGAAUACCCGCUGAACUUAAGCAUAUCAAUAAGCGGAGGA